GAUGAACGCUAGCUACAGGCUUAACACAUGCAAGUCGCGGGGCAGCAUGACAUCAGCUUGCUGAUGUUGAUGGCGACCGGCGCACGGGUGAGUAACGCGUAUCCAACCUGCCCUUUACUAUGGGACAGCCCGGCGAAAGGCGGAUUAAUACCGUAUGUUGUCAUGUUGAUGCAUAUUUUCAUGACCAAAGGCUUCGGCCGGUAAAGGAUGGGGAUGCGUCUGAUUAGCUUGCCGGCGGGGUAACGGCCCACCGGGGCGACGAUCAGUAGGGGUUCUGAGAGGAAGGUCCCCCACAUUGGAACUGAGACACGGUCCAA
RNAcentral lists this ribosomal RNA (317 nucleotides) under uncultured bacterium. Its description in RNAcentral is "bacterial SSU rRNA". It matches the Rfam family "Bacterial small subunit ribosomal RNA", at positions 28 to 334 of the family's 1533-position model. The record is from RNAcentral.